Acomys russatus (golden spiny mouse) is the source of this 393-nucleotide non-coding RNA. Lineage: Eukaryota; Metazoa; Chordata; Mammalia; Rodentia; Muridae. The record is from the annotation of a RefSeq genome assembly.
AUGGGCAUCCAGACCCUCUGUUAUGUGGCCUUCUGUGUUCUGAUAGCAAAUCCCACAGAUGCUGGAGUCACCCAGUCACCCAGACAUGAGGUGACAGAGAAAGGACAAGCAGUAACUCUGAGGUGUGAGCCAGUUUCAGGCCACAAUACCCUAUUCUGGUACAGACAGACCAAGAUACAGGGACUAGAGUUACUGAGCUACUUCCGCAGCAAGUCUCUUGUGCAGGAUGCAGGGGCACUCAAGGAUCGAUUCAAAGCUGAGAUGAUAAAUUCAUCCUCCUCCACUCUGAAGAUCCAGCCCACAGAAGCCCAGGACUCAGCUGUGUAUCUGUGUGCCAGCAGCUUAGCCACAGAGCUACACAAGGAAGCCCAGCCAGUGCAGAAACUCUUGUAG